UGCCACAUUGGCACCUUUGGGGUGGAGCCAGGCAGGGCAGGAGCUGAGAACAGCCCCAGCCUUCAGGGGCCGCCCAGCCUCCAUCCGACUGCCUGGCCUCAAGCUGGGAGGAGGACCCCUGGGGAUGCAGCAUAUUUUAAGAUGUUGGUUUUAGGCAUGGACAUUUGAAUGAGCAGAAUGUGUGGGCUGCAGGCUGGGGUGGGAGAGCCGAUGUCCGCAGGGCAAGAGAAUGCUGGUCUCUCUUGCCCUGCGGACAUCGCCAGGAGGCUCUUCCUGCGGCCAUUGUGAUUUUUAGGGUCAGAAAAUUAUUUGGAAAUAUUUUUUAUUCUGCAAAUAUUUUCUAUACAUUUUUUCUUGAGUGUUUUCCCUUAGUAUUUAGUAAAACUUCUUUUGAAAAUGCUGGCCUGCUGCACCUGUUCUCAGAGGGGCAUGAGAAAAGAGGAUUCUCUUCCUUGGGCUGUGGGAAGCCCCUUGAGAUGUUGGAAGCAGGGCAGGGCAGGAGAACCCAGGGAGGGCACAGAGCUGUGGACGAGGGCUGGGAAAGCCAUCCCGCCUCCCCAGGGGGUCUCCGAGGAGUGCUGCUGUGGCCAAACCAGGGGGGCCACUUUGUGCUUUCUGUUUAGGUGAUGGGAUGCUUCUAUCUCCUCAGCAGCCCACACCAAAUCCCCUGUUAUUGCCAGAUGAUGUGCCUAAUGAUCAAAUUGCUUGGAACUCCUAAUAAUAAAACUUUAAAUCUA
Molecule: non-coding RNA, 737 nt
Filed under: Pan troglodytes (chimpanzee)
Lineage: Eukaryota; Metazoa; Chordata; Mammalia; Primates; Hominidae
Source: RNAcentral